GGCCGCAGUAUAUUAACUGUGCAAAGGUAGCAUAAUCAUUAGUCUUUUAAUUGAAGGCUGGUAUGAAUGGUUGGACAAAAUAUUAACUGUUUCAUAAAAAUUUAUAAUAAAAUUUUAUUUUUUAGUUAAAAAGCUAAAAUUUAUUUAAAAGACGAUAAGACCCUAUAAAUCUUUAUAUUAUUUUUAUUAUUAUUUUUUAGAAAAUUUUAGUUAUAAUAAUUUUUUAAUAUUUUAUUGGGGUGAUAUUAAAAUUUAACAAACUUUUUAUUUUUUUUUCAUUAAUUUAUGAAUAAUUGAUCCGUUAUUAACGAUUAAAAAAAUAAGUUACUUUAGGGAUAACAGCGUAAUUUUUUUGGAGAGUUCAUAUUAAUAAAAAAGAUUGCGACCUCGAUGUUGGAUU
RNAcentral lists this ribosomal RNA (400 nucleotides) under Calozenillia tamara. RNAcentral's name for it is "partial 16S rRNA". Lineage: Eukaryota; Metazoa; Arthropoda; Insecta; Diptera; Tachinidae. The record is from RNAcentral.